Molecule: ribosomal RNA, 836 nt
Filed under: Streptomyces sp. IM-7425
Lineage: Bacteria; Bacillati; Actinomycetota; Actinomycetes; Kitasatosporales; Streptomycetaceae
Description: bacterial SSU rRNA
Rfam family: Bacterial small subunit ribosomal RNA
Source: RNAcentral
GGCGGCGUGCUUAACACAUGCAAGUCGAACGAUGAAGCCCUUCGGGGUGGAUUAGUGGCGAACGGGUGAGUAACACGUGGGCAAUCUGCCCUUCACUCUGGGACAAGCCCUGGAAACGGGGUCUAAUACCGGAUAUGAGCCUGGGAGGCAUCUCCUGGGUUGUAAAGCUCCGGCGGUGAAGGAUGAGCCCGCGGCCUAUCAGCUUGUUGGUGAGGUAGCGGCUCACCAAGGCGACGACGGGUAGCCGGCCUGAGAGGGCGACCGGCCACACUGGGACUGAGACACGGCCCAGACUCCUACGGGAGGCAGCAGUGGGGAAUAUUGCACAAUGGGCGAAAGCCUGAUGCAGCGACGCCGCGUGAGGGAUGACGGCCUUCGGGUUGUAAACCUCUUUCAGCAGGGAAGAAGCGAGAGUGACGGUACCUGCAGAAGAAGCGCCGGCUAACUACGUGCCAGCAGCCGCGGUAAUACGUAGGGCGCAAGCGUUGUCCGGAAUUAUUGGGCGUAAAGAGCUCGUAGGCGGCUUGUCACGUCGAUUGUGAAAGCCCGAGGCUUAACUUCGGGUCUGCAGUCGAUACGGGCUAGCUAGAGUGUGGUAGGGGAGAUCGGAAUUCCUGGUGUAGCGGUGAAAUGCGCAGAUAUCAGGAGGAACACCGGUGGCGAAGGCGGAUCUCUGGGCCAUUACUGACGCUGAGGAGCGAAAGCGUGGGGAGCGAACAGGAUUAGAUACCCUGGUAGUCCACGCCGUAAACGGUGGGCACUAGGUGUUGGCGACAUUCCACGUCGUCGGUGCCGCAGCUAACGCAUUAAGUGCCCCGCCUGGGGAGUACGGCCGC